Molecule: transfer RNA, 75 nt
Filed under: Dispira parvispora
Lineage: Eukaryota; Fungi; Kickxellomycota; Dimargaritomycetes; Dimargaritales; Dimargaritaceae
Rfam family: tRNA
About the family: Transfer RNA (tRNA) molecules are approximately 80 nucleotides in length. Their secondary structure includes four short double-helical elements and three loops (D, anti-codon, and T loops).
Source: Rfam by way of RNAcentral
GCCCCGUUAGCUCAGUUGGUUUAGAGCGUGGUGCUAAUAACGCCAAGGUCAUAGGUUCGAUCCCUGUACGGGGCA